This 460-nucleotide ribosomal RNA is filed under the name uncultured bacterium. RNAcentral describes it as "partial 16S ribosomal RNA". It matches the Rfam family "Bacterial small subunit ribosomal RNA", at positions 338 to 795 of the family's 1533-position model. The record is from RNAcentral.
CCUACGGGCGGCAGCAGUGAGGAAUAUUGGUCAAUGGACGAAAGUCUGAACCAGCCAAGUAGCGUGAAGGAUGACUGCCCUAUGGGUUGUAAACUUCUUUUGUAUGGGGAUAAAACAGGGUAUGCGUAUCCACUUGUAUGUACCAUAUGAAUAAGGAUCGGCUAACUCCGUGCCAGCAGCCGCGGUAAUACGGAGGAUCCGAGCGUUAUCCGGAUUUAUUGGGUUUAAAGGGAGCGUAGGUGGAUUGUUAAGUCAGAGGUGAAAGUUUGGGGCUUAACUGGAGAAUUGCAGUUGAUACUGGUGGUCUAGAGAGUAGUAGAGGUAGGCGGAAUGUGUGGUGUAGCGGUGAAAUGCUUAGAGAUCAUACAGAACUCCGAUUGCGAAGGCAGCUCACCGGACUACAACUGACACUGAUGCACGAAAGUGUGGGGAUCAAACAGGAUUAGAUACCCCUGUAGUC